CUCUGCGGACCACUUGUCUCUAGUUCUUGGCUGACACAGACAUUCCCUGCCCAGGGAAGUGUUUGAUUUAUGUUGAGGUUUAGGUGUCAGGAUUUUGCUGACAGUUUCCUCCCCGGUGAAGUUAGUACCAGGAGGACUAAACAAGGUAAGCGAGCGGCCUUCGGAUAUGCCAGGCAGUGUCCUUGUGCUUAGAAGCCUAAUGAAGAAUUGCCGUGAAAGUCCCCAUUUUACAGAAGAGGAGCAGGCUUGGAGAAGUGACGUAGCAUCUGAGAACACCUGGCUGUCUGCAUUGUGACAGAGAAUCAAACAGAUUUCUGUCAGAGCCCUGCUGGUGACACCACUGACACUCCUACUGGAGGUUUCCUGAACGUCCAGACUCAUCGUACGGUCUCAAGCCACCCUGAAGCCUUACAGUAAAAGCAGAGAGCCUCUGCACACGCCCCAC
This is a long non-coding RNA of Cavia porcellus (domestic guinea pig), 445 nucleotides long. RefSeq lists it as uncharacterized. The transcript has 3 exons. The record is from RefSeq and is a predicted model, not a curated record. NCBI's taxonomy places the organism in Eukaryota, Metazoa, Chordata, Mammalia, Rodentia, Caviidae.